Molecule: ribosomal RNA, 301 nt
Filed under: uncultured bacterium
Lineage: Bacteria
Description: partial 16S ribosomal RNA
Rfam family: Bacterial small subunit ribosomal RNA
Source: RNAcentral
CAGCCGCCGCGGGAAUACGAAGGGUGCAAGCGUUACUCGGAAUUACUGGGCGUAAAGCGUGCGUAGGUGGUGGUUUAAGUCCGUUGUGAAAGCCCUGGGCUCAACCUGGGAAUUGCAGUGGAUACUGGGUCACUAGAGUGUGGUAGAGGAUAGUGGAAUUUCCGGUGUAGCAGUGAAAUGCGUAGAGAUCGGAAGGAACAUCUGUGGCGAAGGCGACUAUCUGGGCCAACACUGACACUGAGGCACGAAAGCUAGGGGAGCAAACAGGAUUAGAGACCCCUGUAGUCCCUGUCUCUUAUAC